AGCAAAUGACUUUAAAAUAGUAGCAAAAUUAACAAUAAAACAAGUAUGAUACAAUAUUUAAACACUAACAAUAAAAGAGUAACAAAACAGUGGUAAAAAGUGGGAAAACAAUAGCAAAACAUGAAAAAACAAUAAUAAAAUAGCAUGAGUUUUUUAUUGCAAAUUCGGGUCGGCCUGAGCCCAGGUAAAAAAACCUUACCCGAGGCCUGAUUCAUUUUCUAAACAGAUCUUAUUUUUUACUCAAACCUAUUUUUCGAGUCUAUAUUUUUUUUCAAACUCUUUUAUUUUUAGGCGUGCUUUCGAGCUGGGCCAUAGACAACUUUAGGGAAGAGAAGAGAAGAAAAAGUGAAGAGAAGAGAAGAGAAGAAAAAUGAUUGAGAAAUGGAGGGGAUGGAAAAGUGAAAUGGAGAAUUGUCGCUCUCAAAUGGCAGCGCCAAUAAAAUUCUGCAGUUAUUAUGAGUCCCUUUCACCCCAUUCUCUUUUUCCUCUUCAUCUCUUCUGUUCUUCUUAUGUCCAUGGAAAUCAGAAAGGAGUGGUUUUUUGCCCACACAAAUUACUU
This 559-nucleotide long non-coding RNA is filed under the name Gossypium barbadense (sea-island cotton). RNAcentral's name for it is "long non-coding RNA (GBAR_LNC012779)". The record is from RNAcentral. Lineage: Eukaryota; Viridiplantae; Streptophyta; Magnoliopsida; Malvales; Malvaceae.